RNAcentral lists this ribosomal RNA (303 nucleotides) under Aeromonas hydrophila. RNAcentral's name for it is "bacterial SSU rRNA". It matches the Rfam family "Bacterial small subunit ribosomal RNA", at positions 734 to 1039 of the family's 1533-position model. Lineage: Bacteria; Pseudomonadati; Pseudomonadota; Gammaproteobacteria; Aeromonadales; Aeromonadaceae. The record is from RNAcentral.
CAAAGACUGACGCUCAGGUGCGAAAGCGUGGGGAGCAAACAGGAUUAGAUACCCUGGUACUCCACGCCGUAAACGAUGUCGAUUUGGAGGCUGUGUCCUUGAGACGUGGCUUGCGGAGCUAACGCGUUAAAUCGACCGCCUGGGGAGUACGGCCGCAAGGAAAACUCAAUGAAUUGACGGGGGCCCGCACAAGCGGUGGAGCAUGUGGUUUAAUUCGAUGCAACGCCAACAACCUUACCUGGCCUUGACAUGUCUGGAAUCCUGCAGAGAUGCGGCAGUGCCUUCGGGAAUCAGAACAAAGGU